Molecule: long non-coding RNA, 1401 nt
Filed under: Gadus morhua (Atlantic cod)
Lineage: Eukaryota; Metazoa; Chordata; Actinopteri; Gadiformes; Gadidae
Description: lncRNA (ENSGMOG00000012211.2)
Source: RNAcentral
GGUCGGGUGCUGGGCGGGGGGGCCGAGGCUGGGGCAGGUGGGGAACCCGAUGCAGAGACAUGGGGAGAAAACAGAAAAGGUGGAGGCAAAAGCUCGCCCCAAGAGCUGGACAUUAAACCAGUCCGUAUGUCCAGUGCCCACGGAGAGAGCAGUGAUGGCAGCAGGGAUUCUGGAGAUGGAAGGAGCCAAGGAGAGAGGAGGAGGAGAAGGAAGGAGGGAAGACAGCCCAGCAGUUCAGACAGAAAGAGCAGCUCCCAGGAGUCUGCUGGAGCCUCAAGGUCAGACUCUGAGGUCUUCAUCCCCCCCACUACGACCAGAGGGCAGAGAGCGACCAGAGGACCAUACAGCGGCACGCCAUCAGAGACAGAAAGCAGACGUGGGGGAAUGUCCGUCUGCGAGCGGAGAGCGGAGAAGAAUACACAAAGUGACCCGGACCAAUCGGGGAGUCACCAAGAGAAGAGCUGCAGAACCCUCAGAGUGAAAUCCCAGAGCGCGGCGGGAGAUUCCUCCAGUCACACGACAGAGGAUGAGGAUCCAACGGACCAAUCAGAGGGAAGCAGGAAGGAAUGCGGACAGCAGAAAGACUCUGUAAGUGUUAAAGAGAAGAGUAGACAAGAUCUGACCACAGAUGCGCAGAGAACUGGAGAGGAGGCAGCCGACGUCCAGGGAGACCAGGGGGGAACCGACGAAGACGCCAAACACACCGAUGAAGACUCUAGUAGUGAGGAUGAAGAAAACCGCCUGAUCGAGGAACAGGAGGAAGAGGAUGAGGAGGAAUCACACAGAGAGGAGGAUAAAGAGGAAAGAGGAGAGGACGAUGAAGGGCAGGAGUCGGAGGCCAGUGGAGAAGAGGAAGGCCGGGAGCAGACGGGGUCCUCUGACAGUGAGAGUGAAGGUGACGCCAUGUUGCGGGCCAAAGAGGAACCGGAGAAUAAGGAACGUCAGGCCGAGGUAGAUGAUGAUGGGAAGGAGCUGGAUGAGGAAGAGGAUGGAGGCGGGGGAGGAGUGUGCAUUUGUCAGCCACAGGAAGGGGAGCCGGAGGAAACAGAUUCAGAUGACAGCAUCGUCUUACCGCAGGAACACAGAUCUAUAAAGGUACAAAGUGUUUCUGAGGAGGAAGAGGCCAACAGUCGGGAGGAGGAAGAGGAGGGAGAGGGGACUGGAGGAGAUGGCUCAGUGGAGAGCUCAGACAGUGAGGAAGAGGAGGGCGAGGACAUUGAACGUCUCGUCGCACCUCGAGCGGAGACGGAGAGUAAACAAGAGAAUGAACUGAAAUCCCUCAACAAAACAAAAGUGGUAAAAGAAGACCCCCAGAUUGAGGAGUCUUUGUUGGAGCAGUCAGACAAACGGGUCCAGAAGGCUGAGGACACAGAUGAUGAGUUUGACCACUUCUAUGAUUGA